Molecule: long non-coding RNA, 797 nt
Organism: Mytilus trossulus (common blue mussel)
Lineage: Eukaryota; Metazoa; Mollusca; Bivalvia; Mytilida; Mytilidae
Exons: 3
Source: RefSeq, a predicted model, not a curated record
AAUCCACAAUUCCAAAGACAAAUGACAUGAUGACAUUUAAGUUUCAUCUUUAAUUAACGAAUGCAUCAUUUGUGGUUCAGUUACAUAUUUCCGUGUGUGUAUGCUAACUAUAAGAAAAAAUAAUUAAAAUAGGGUAUAAAUGAACGAUUCUGAAGCAGUAAAACAGUAUUCACUAGACAUUAUUCCAAUUAAUUCAAACAAAGAAAUUUAAAAGAAGAUGAGAUUCCAGACUGUUUUCUUUUCGUUGGCAUUGGUCACAGUGACAGUAGCCGUAUAUGCACCAAAUUCAGUUACACAUGGAGGGAAGGUGACUUUAACAGUCGAAAGCACACUUCGAAGAGACAUAACCGGGCGUCGUGGUGGCGAAUCUCUUUCUGUUUUGGACUUUAUCGAUGCAAAUAGACGGACAGGAUAAAGAGCUGUUGGAACAUCACAUGGAAUAGGCAAUGAAUUUAUAACACACGGGUCAUCAGUCAGUAGAGGAGCACAGUCUGGUGGCUCUUUUGGUGGUAGGACCUCUGCAUCUGAAAUCAUAAGAGGCUCUUCUGUUGGUUUGUCACUUGCUUUAUCUGACGAUGACAGUAACUGUCAUUAUGGAUGUGGAGGAGACAAAUUGUGUCGUUCAGGACAUAAAUGUGUUCAUGAUGGUUGUAGCAGUUACUGCGUCGACAUUUCUUCUGGGAGUAUAAUUGGUGCAUCACGAUUAUCGGACUCUAUAAACAGAGGUAACACGGUCUCAGAAAUAGUUAGAAGUUCAUCAUCUGGCUUGAACCGAGUUUCAAGUAAUGGUGGUCAUU